This 253-nucleotide ribosomal RNA is filed under the name uncultured bacterium. Its description in RNAcentral is "partial 16S ribosomal RNA". It matches the Rfam family "Bacterial small subunit ribosomal RNA", at positions 524 to 776 of the family's 1533-position model. The record is from RNAcentral.
UACGUAGGGUGCAAGCGUUGUCCGGAAUUAUUGGGCGUAAAGAGCUCGUAGGCGGUUUGUUGCGUCGGCUGUGAAAACCUGAGGCUCAACCUCAGGCCUGCAGUCGAUACGAGCAGACUAGAGUGUUGCAGGGGAGACUGAAAUUCCUGGUGUAGCGGUGAAAUGCGCAGAUAUCAGGAGGAACACCGGUGGCGAAGGCGGGUCUCUGGGCAACAACUGACGCUGAGGAGCGAAAGCGUGGGGAGCGAACAGG